UACGAAGGGGGCGAGCGUUGUUCGGAAUUACUGGGCGUAAAGGGCGCGUAGGCGGCCGAUCAAGUCAGAUGUGAAAGUCCUGGGCUUAACCUGGGGACUGCAUUUGAUACUGAUUGGCUUGAAUUCGGGAGAGGAUAGCGGAAUUCCCAAUGUAGAGGUGAAAUUCGUAGAUAUUGGGAAGAACACCGGUGGCGAAGGCGGCUAUCUGGACCGACAUUGACGCUGAGGCGCGAAAGCGUGGGGAGCAAACAGG
Molecule: ribosomal RNA, 253 nt
Filed under: uncultured bacterium
Lineage: Bacteria
Description: partial 16S ribosomal RNA
Rfam family: Bacterial small subunit ribosomal RNA
Source: RNAcentral